GUGCUGCUUGUUUCAGCAGCACACAUACUAAAACUGGAAUGAUACAUAAAAGAUUAGCAUGGCCCCUGUACAAGGAUGACAUGCAAAUUCACGAAGCAUUUCAUUUAUUU
Molecule: small nuclear RNA, 110 nt
Filed under: Alligator mississippiensis (American alligator)
Lineage: Eukaryota; Metazoa; Chordata; Crocodylia; Alligatoridae
Source: RNAcentral